Triticum aestivum (bread wheat) is the source of this 135-nucleotide non-coding RNA. The record is from Rfam. Lineage: Eukaryota; Viridiplantae; Streptophyta; Magnoliopsida; Poales; Poaceae.
UUUGUACUCCCUCCGUCCCGAAAUUCUUGUCUUAGAUUUGUCUAGAUACAAAUAUAUCUAAUACUACAAUGUAAUUUGAUACAUCUGUAUUUAAAUAAAUCUAAGACAAGAAUUUUAGAACGGAGGAAAUAGUAU